RNAcentral lists this ribosomal RNA (958 nucleotides) under Synalpheus guerini complex sp. A KMH-2014. Its description in RNAcentral is "bacterial SSU rRNA". It matches the Rfam family "Eukaryotic small subunit ribosomal RNA", at positions 549 to 1478 of the family's 1831-position model. Lineage: Eukaryota; Metazoa; Arthropoda; Malacostraca; Decapoda; Alpheidae. The record is from RNAcentral.
UGGAGGGCCAAGUCUGGUGCCAGCAGCCGCGGUAAUUCCAGCUCCAAUAGCGUAUAUUAAAGUUGUUGCGGUUAAAAAGCUCGUAGUCUGAGGUCUGUUCCGGACUGGCUGGGGAGGUCACCGCCCGGUGCUUGCCCGUCAGGUUCCGAACAGCUUCUGCCACGAGCGGAAGCCAAGCCGGUUCUGCCGGGGUGCUCUUGACCGAGUGUCCCGCGCGGCCGGCCGGUUCACCUUGAACAAAUGAGAGUGCUCAAAGCAGGCUACUCUUAAAACUAAAGCCCGAAUGUUAACUGCAUGGAAUGAUGAAAGAUGAUCUCGGUUCCAUUUUGCUGGCUGUGGGACUCCGAGUUAAUGAUAAACAGGGACUGUCGGGGGCAUCCGUACUACGACGCGAGAGGUGAAAUUCAAUGACCGUCGUAGGACGAACAACAGCGAAAGCAUUUGCCAAGAAUGUCUUCGUUGAUCAAGAACGAAAGUUAGAGGAUCGAAGGCGAUCAGAUACCGCCCUAGUUCUAACCCUAAACGAUGCUGACUAGCUAUUCGCCGUCGUUAUUCCCAUGACGUGGCGAGACGCCCCCGGGAAACCUCAAGUCUUUGAGUUCCGGGGGUAGUAUGGUUGCAAAACUGAAACUUAAAGGAAUUGACGGAAGGGCACCACCAGGAGUGGAGCCUGCGGCUUAAUUUGACUCAACACGGGAAACCUCACCAGGCCCGGACACCAGAAGGAUUGACAGAUUAAGAGCUCUUUCUCGAUUUGGUGGGUGGUGGUGCAUGGCCGUUCUUAGUUGGUGGAGUGAUUUGUCUGGUUAAUUCCGGUAACGAACGAGACUCUGGCCUACUAACUAGUGGAUGGGUGUCCCUGGUAACGGGCCCCAUCCGAUAAUGUCUUCUUAGAGGGAUGAGCAGCGAGUAUAGCUGCAGGAGAUUGAGCAAUAACAGGUCUGUGUGCCCCUUAGAA